Molecule: ribosomal RNA, 254 nt
Filed under: uncultured bacterium
Lineage: Bacteria
Description: partial 16S ribosomal RNA
Rfam family: Bacterial small subunit ribosomal RNA
Source: RNAcentral
UACGUAGGGGGCGAGCGUUGUCCGGAUUUAUUGGGCGUAAAGAGCUCGUAGGCGGUUGGGUAAGUCGGGUGUGAAAACUCAGGGCUCAACUCUGAGACGCCACUCGAUACUGCCCUGACUCGAGUCCGGUAGGGGAGCGUGGAAUUCCCGGUGUAGCGGUGAAAUGCGCAGAUAUCGGGAGGAACACCAGUGGCGAAGGCGGCGCUCUGGGCCGGAACUGACGCUGAGGUGCGAAAGCGUGGGGAGCAAACAGG